AGUGAACGCUGGCGGUAGGCCUAACACAUGCAAGCCGAACGGCAGCACAGUAAGAGCUUGCUCUUACGGGUGGCGAGUGGCGGACGGGUGAGGAAUACAUCGGAAUCUACUUUUUCGAGGGGGCUAACGUAGGGGAACUUACGCUAAUACCGCAUACGACCUACGGGUGAAAGCAGGGGAUCUUCGGACCUUGCGCGAUUGAAUGAGCCGAUGUCGGAUUAGCUAGUUGGAGGGGUAAAGGCCCACCAAGGCGACGAUCCGUAGCUGGUCUGAGAGGAUGAUCAGCCACACUGGAACUGAGACACGGUCCAGACUCCUACGGGAGGCAGCAGUGGGGAAUAUUGGACAAUGGGCGCAAGCCUGAUCCAGCCAUACCGCGUGGGUGAAGAAGGCCUUCGGGUUGUAAAGCCCUUUUGUUGGGAAAGAAAAGCAGCAGGUUAAUACCCCGCUGUUCUGACGGUACCCAAAGAAUAAGCACCGGCUAACUUCGUG
Molecule: ribosomal RNA, 492 nt
Filed under: uncultured bacterium
Lineage: Bacteria
Description: partial 16S ribosomal RNA
Rfam family: Bacterial small subunit ribosomal RNA
Source: RNAcentral